Molecule: long non-coding RNA, 559 nt
Filed under: Ananas comosus (pineapple)
Lineage: Eukaryota; Viridiplantae; Streptophyta; Magnoliopsida; Poales; Bromeliaceae
Description: long non-coding RNA (ACOM_LNC023519)
Source: RNAcentral
UAACUUUUUUUCUAAUAUGGGAAGGGUGAUUAAGAUCUUUAUAACGACCCAACCGACUAGCAAUAAUAACUCAGUUAGAUCCAAACCACCAGCCCAAAAUACUUAAAUUCAAUUAUUAUUGUUAGGGUUCAUAGUCUCUUAUAUAUAUACCUCAUCAUACUUUUGUUAUCAUCCGAUGUGGGACUAUUAAGAUGCCUGCCCCGGCCUGUUUAGGCCCUGACGUUCUUGUCAGUUCAAUCACAUACAACCCAUGAUCACUAGGUGAUAUGAGACUUGUCUCGCUAGUCUUAGCUUACUCAUUCCGACCUUGCUUUAGUCUCUCAUUCUUAGACCCUGACUUAGCUUGUCAUUCCGACCCUAGCUCACCCGAAACUAAUCUCAUACUUCUAGCUAGUGAAUCGGCUCUAAUACCAAAUAUAACGACUCGAUCAGCUAGCAAAAAUAACUCUUUAGACUCAAACCACAAAAUCACUGAUCUAAAAUGCUUAAACCAAGUUGUUAUUAUUAUUAAAUUUCUUAUAUACCCAAUCACAAGUCCGUUUGCAUCCAAUGUGAGACU